ACAGGGAUUGCCCUAGUAACGGCGAGUGAAGCGGCAACAGCUCAAAUUUGAAAUCUGGCUCUUUUAGGGUCCGAGUUGUAAUUUGCAGAGGGCGCUUUGGCGUUGGCAGCGGUCCAAGUUCCUUGGAACAGGACGUCACAGAGGGUGAGAAUCCCGUACGUGGUCGCUGGCCUUCGCCGUGUAAAGCCCCUUCGACGAGUCGAGUUGUUUGGGAAUGCAGCUCUAAAUGGGAGGUAAAUUUCUUCUAAAGCUAAUACUGGCCAGAGACCGAUAGCGCACAAGUAGAGUGAUCGAAAGAUGAAAAGCACUUUGGAAAGAGAGUCAAAUAGCACGUGAAAUUGUUGAAAGGGAAGCGCUUGCAGCCAGACUUGCCUGUAGUUGCUCAUCUGGGCUUUUGUCCAGUGCACUCUUCUACAGGCAGGCCAGCAUCAGUUGGGCGGUGGAUAAAGGUCUCUGUCACGUACCUCCCUUUGGGGAGGCUUAUAGGGGAGACGACAUGCAACCAGCCUGGACUGAGGUCCGCGCAUCUGCUAGGAUGCUGGCGUAAUGGCUGUAAGCGGCCCGUCUUGAAACACGGACCAAGGAGUCUAACAUCUAUGCGAGUGUUUGGGUGUCAAGCCCGGACGCGUAAUGAAAGUGAACGGAGGUGGGAACCCUUUUAGGGUGCACCAUCGACCGAUCCUGAUGUCUUCGGAAGGAUUUGAGUAAGAGCAUGGCUGUUGGGACCCGAAAGAUGGUGAACUAUGCUUGAAUAGGGUGAAGCCAGAGGAAACUCUGGUGGAGGCUCGCAGCGGUUCUGACGUGCAAAUCGAUCGUCAAAUUUGGGCAUAGGGGCGAAAGACUAAUCGAACUAUCUAGUAGCUGGUUCCUGCCGAAG
Molecule: ribosomal RNA, 877 nt
Filed under: Plenodomus lingam (blackleg of rapeseed fungus)
Lineage: Eukaryota; Fungi; Ascomycota; Dothideomycetes; Pleosporales; Leptosphaeriaceae
Description: partial large subunit ribosomal RNA
Rfam family: Eukaryotic large subunit ribosomal RNA
Source: RNAcentral